AGUUUUCUUACUUUUUGAUUGUCUAAUAGAUGUGUAGUUUGUAAUAUGUGCAUCAUUUCGUUUUGUUGAAAGCAGGACAUUUACAUUAAGUGGAGGAAAGAACCCGCGAAUGCAAUUCAUGCCGUCCCUAGCAUAUUACGGCGACCUCAAAUACUGUUAACGGACAACCUUGCAAGACAUUUUCAUUAAUCCGUAUUUUUU
This 201-nucleotide long non-coding RNA is filed under the name Mytilus galloprovincialis (Mediterranean mussel). The record is from RNAcentral. Lineage: Eukaryota; Metazoa; Mollusca; Bivalvia; Mytilida; Mytilidae.